AUGGGGGAGAGGGUCAAGGGAACCGUGAAGUGGUUCAACGUCACCAAGGGGUUCGGCUUCAUCUCCCCGGACGACGGCGGCGAGGACCUUUUCGUCCACCAGUCCGCCAUCAAGUCCGACGGCUACCGCAGCCUCAACGAGAACGACGCCGUCGAGUUCGAGAUAAUCACCGGCGACGACGGACGCACCAAGGCCUCCGACGUCACCGCACCAGGAGGAGGGGCGCUCUCCGGCGGCUCCCGCCCUGGCGAAGGCGGUGGUGGCGGCUACGGCGGCGGUGGUGGCGGCUACGGUGGCGGUGGCUAUGGAGGCGGCGGUGGCGGCGGCCGUGGGUGCUACAAGUGCGGCGAAGAUGGCCACAUCUCCAGGGACUGCCCCCAGGGCGGCGGUGGCGGCGGCGGCUACGGCGGUGGUGGCUACGGAGGUGGUGGCGGCGGCGGCCGUGAGUGCUACAAGUGCGGCGAGGAGGGCCACAUCUCCAGGGACUGCCCCCAGGGCGGCGGCGGCGGCGGCUACGGAGGCGGUGGCGGCCGUGGCGGUGGCGGCGGCGGUGGCGGCUGCUUCUCCUGCGGCGAGUCCGGCCACUUCUCCCGCGAGUGCCCCAACAAGGCCCACUAG
RNAcentral lists this ribosomal RNA (618 nucleotides) under Triticum aestivum (bread wheat). RNAcentral's name for it is "partial small subunit ribosomal RNA". Lineage: Eukaryota; Viridiplantae; Streptophyta; Magnoliopsida; Poales; Poaceae. The record is from RNAcentral.